This 345-nucleotide unclassified non-coding RNA is filed under the name soil metagenome. Its description in RNAcentral is "partial contains 5.8S ribosomal RNA, internal transcribed spacer 2, and large subunit ribosomal RNA". The stretch from base 1 to 120 matches the Rfam family "5.8S ribosomal RNA", at positions 35 to 154 of the family's 154-position model. The record is from RNAcentral.
GAUGAAGAACGCAGCGAAAUGCGAUACGUAAUGUGAAUUGCAGAAUUCAGUGAAUCAUCGAGUCUUUGAACGCACAUUGCGCCCCCUGGUAUUCCGGGGGGCAUGCCUGUCCGAGCGUCAUUGCUGCCCUCAAGCACGGCUUGUGUGUUGGGCCUCCGUCCUCCUCCCGGGCGACGGGCCCGAAAGGCAGCGGCGGCACCGCGUCCGGUCCUCGAGCGUAUGGGGCUUCGUCACCCGCUCUUGUAGGCCCGGCCGGCGCUUGCCGACACAUCAAUCUUCUUUCCAGGUUGACCUCGGAUCAGGUAGGGAUACCCGCUGAACUUAAGCAUAUCAAUAAGCGGAGGA